AAUUCAGGAGGAUAUGCUUAUCCAUAUCAAAAUUCAGGAGGAUAUGCUUAUCCAUAUCAAAAUUCAGAAGGGUUAAUGCCAAAAUCAGGUAUACUUUUACAAUAUAUUCCAUCGUAUAUCAUGAAUUAAAUUAUGAUUCAUUAAUUUUUAAGUAAUAUCAGUUCGAUUUUGUAUGUAAUUUUGUAUUGAGAAUGCUUAAACGCUUGUAGAAUACAAUGCGGUAAAAAACUAUCACGAUGCGGUUCAGUCUGCGAUCAAAUACCACCAUGAUGCGACCAGAGACUACAACGUCGCGACCAAAAACUACUACAUAUCGAUCGCGAAAUCUCACGCGGUUGCCGGGAACUCCCAUGCGGAUGCCGGGCACUACCAGGUUGCGGCGGAGGAGUACCGUACUGCCGCCGACGCUUACGCUCAGGCGGCGGAACUCUUUAAGAACGGGCAGCACUGGUAUUUUUUAGGAUAUUUAUUGGAAUGUUGUGACUCAAACAACAUUAAGUUGAAAGAAUCAAAAUGGUUAAAUAAAAAUAUAUUCAUAUUCUAUUUUUUAGGAGAAUUUUAAGUAUUAUUUAAAUUAAUUAAUUUAAUAUAUAUUUUUUAAAAAUUAAUUACAAAUUAUGUAAUAUAAAUAUUUAUGUUUAUGUUCAAUAAAAGAUAUCAGUUUCCCUUUUAUUCUUUUGCCUCUUAUACGUUAAAACCAACAAUAUUUAUAAGCAUUUGUGACUUUUACAUGUUUAGUUCUCUAUUCAUACUUUUUUUUUUUUUUUUUUUUCAUAUAAGUCUGUAAUUCUACUAUUUUUAUUAUGUUCUGUUUGAUUUUCAAAUUUUCUUUUGGUUUUAUAUUCGUAUUUGGUAGACUUACUUAUCAAGUCUUCGAGAGCGCAUAUCAGGAUAUGCAGGAAGAGAAUCGGUUUUAUUUGGCAAAGAAAAAAUUCGUCUUUUAAUUCUUUCCAAAAUGAUGCCAACACUCUUUUAUUGUUGGAAUUUAUUAAAUUUUUUUAAUAUUUUUUAUGGGUUGAUAAAUAUGAGAGUUUCUGUUUCUAUUAAGUUAGAGAAAAAACAGUUUGUGAACAGAUAUAACUCAUAUUGGCACAUUAGAAGUUUUAUUAAAUUAAAGAAAAUAAGAAAAAAAUUACAGAAUUAAUUUUUAUUUUAUUAAUUUAAAAUUAUAAUAAAUUUAAGUAUUUUUAAUUAAAUUUUGCACUUUUAUGGAAACAAAAUAAACUAAAAUAAAAUAUCUGUCACAUUGUUCGGUUAAGAUAAAAGUUAAAUUUUAAUUAAAAAUUGUAAAAUUUUUUAUUAUUAUAUAAAUAUAAAUAAUUUAAUAAAUAAUUAAUCAAAAAAAUAUUUUAAUUUAUUAACGAAUCGAUAUAGUUUUUAUUUGUCUUUUAAGAAAAAAAAAAAAACUUUCUUUUUACCUGGAUUACAUUUAAUUUUGUAUAUUUUCCUACUUUUUACUACUGUAUUUAAUUUUUUUUAAAUAUUAAGAAACAAUAAAUUCACUCAAUUCAAAAUAAAAUAUUCACUUAAUCUGAAAAAUAAAUUAUGAUUAGGGUUACGAAGUCAGCCUACAAUACUGAGAGGUCAUUGGUUUAAAUUUCACUUUUUUUUAAGAUGCAAUUUAAAUUAAAAUCUAUUUUAGUAAUACAUGCAAUGAGGCAAUAACAAAAUGAAGUUGUUUUGGUGGUAAGAGCAACAUAGGAGAACAUGUAAUUGAUUUCAUUGCAAUAGAUAAUACAUUUGAGCCUAUAGAAUAGUAAACUGAUUUCAUUGCUUGAGAGUUGAUUUUGGAACGCAUUGAAUGAUGGAUGAAUUAAUUUUGGUUUGAAGGAAACUAAUUCUCUCCCUUUGAAACCGAUUAUGGGUGCCUCAACAUUUUUUUAAAAUUAAUUUCAACUCAUCAAAUUUUUACCUUGUAUUACUUUUAAUCAUAAAGACAAAUGUGUAAUAUUUAAUGUUUAUUUAUUUUUUUAUUUAUCACAUCCAAUCUUUCACAAACUUUUAGAAAUUUUUUCUUCAAAUGGAUUCACUUUCAUAUCUCCAUCCUAUAAAAUAAACAAUAUUACAAUUCAUUUCCUAUUUUUUCAAAAUUUAUUCAUUCACUUGUAACAUUUCAUUUGAUAAAGUAUUUAUAUGAUUGAUAUAACACUCUACUAUAUUUAAUAUUUGAGUUUUUUAGAGUCUUACACCUUCAAAUUCAUCCCUCAAAAAGUAAUUCUGAACCUAAUAUAAUUAAGACUUAAUAUAUCUGAUGGUCCCUAUUUUCGUAAGGUUUGUUCCAUUUGGUCCUAUUUUUUGUGUGUUUAAUGUUGUCCUAAAGAAUGUAAUUUAUGUUCAAUUUAGUCUUUUUUGUAGACGCUGUUUAAAUAGUUAACGACAGACAAUUCAAGUAUGCAAUCAGCGAAUUGACAUGUCAUUUAAUGGAUGACAUGGACAAAAGGUAUACUGAUGUGGAUUUUUGUUUUUUGAAAGUGAUUUUUUGAUAUUAGGGUUUUUAUUGAAUUGAUGACAACCCUUGUCUCGGGUCUGAACAGGAUCAUCGCAAGUCUCCCUGGCUG
Molecule: long non-coding RNA, 2558 nt
Filed under: Vigna radiata
Lineage: Eukaryota; Viridiplantae; Streptophyta; Magnoliopsida; Fabales; Fabaceae
Description: long non-coding RNA (VRAD_LNC007391)
Source: RNAcentral